This 433-nucleotide ribosomal RNA is filed under the name uncultured bacterium. Its description in RNAcentral is "partial 16S ribosomal RNA". It matches the Rfam family "Bacterial small subunit ribosomal RNA", at positions 29 to 507 of the family's 1533-position model. The record is from RNAcentral.
AGCGAACGCUGGCGGCAGGCCUAACACAUGCAAGUCGAACGGAUCCUUCGGGAUUAGUGGCGGACGGGUGAGUAACACGUGGGAACGUGCCCUUUGGUUCGGAACAACUCAGGGAAACUUGUGCUAAUACCGGAUGUGCCCUUCGGGGGAAAGAUUUAUCGCCAUUGGAGCGGCCCGCGUCUGAUUAGCUAGUUGGUGAGGUAACGGCCCACCAAGGCGACGAUCAGUAGCUGGUCUGAGAGGAUGAUCAGCCACACUGGGACUGAGACACGGCCCAGACUCCUACGGGAGGCAGCAGUGGGGAAUCUUGCGCAAUGGGCGAAAGCCUGACGCAGCCAUGCCGCGUGAAUGAUGAAGGUCUUAGGAUUGUAAAAUUCUUUCAGCGGGGACGAUAAUGACGGUACCCGCAGAAGAAGCUCCGGCUAACUUCGUG